This 516-nucleotide ribosomal RNA is filed under the name Salmonella enterica. RNAcentral's name for it is "partial 23S ribosomal RNA". The record is from RNAcentral. Lineage: Bacteria; Pseudomonadati; Pseudomonadota; Gammaproteobacteria; Enterobacterales; Enterobacteriaceae.
CUGCACGAAUGGCGUAAUGAUGGCCAGGCUGUCUCCACCCGAGACUCAGUGAAAUUGAACUCGCUGUGAAGAUGCAGUGUACCCGCGGCAAGACGGAAAGACCCCGUGAACCUUUACUAUAGCUUGACACUGAACAUUGAGCCUUGAUGUGUAGGAUAGGUGGGAGGCUUUGAAGUGUGGACGCCAGUCUGCAUGGAGCCGACCUUGAAAUACCACCCUUUAAUGUUUGAUGUUCUAACGUGGACCCGURAUCCGGGUUGCGGACAGUGUCUGGUGGGUAGUUUGACUGGGGCGGUCUCCUCCUAAAGAGUAACGGAGGAGCACGAAGGUUGGCUAAUCCUGGUCGGACAUCAGGAGGUUAGUGCAAUGGCAUAAGCCAGCUUGACUGCGAGCGUGACGGCGCGAGCAGGUGCGAAAGCAGGUCAUAGUGAUCCGGUGGUUCUGAAUGGAAGGGCCAUCGCUCAACGGAUAAAAGGUACUCCGGGGAUAACAGGCUGAUACCGCCCAAGAGUUCAU